AGAGUUUGAUCCUGGCUCAGGAUGAACGCUAGCUACAGGCUUAACACAUGCAAGUCGAGGGGCAGCAUGGUCUUAGCUUGCUAAGGCCGAUGGCGACCGGCGCACGGGUGAGUAACACGUAUCCAACCUGCCGACAACACUGGGAUAGCCUUUCGAAAGAAAGAUUAAUACCGGAUGGCAUAGUUUUCCCGCAUGGGAUAAUUAUUAAAGAAUUUCGGUUGUCGAUGGGGAUGCGUUCCAUUAGGCAGUUGGCGGGGUAACGGCCCACCAAACCUACGAUGGAUAGGGGUUCUGAGAGGAAGGUCCCCCACAUUGGAACUGAGACACGGUCCAAACUCCUACGGGAGGCAGCAGUGAGGAAUAUUGGUCAAUGGACGAGAGUCUGAACCAGCCAAGUAGCGUGAAGGAUGACUGCCCUAUGGGUUGUAAACUUCUUUUAUACGGGAAUAAAGUGAGCCACGUGUGGCUUUUUGUAUGUACCGUAUGAAUAAGGAUCGGCUAACUCCGUGCCAGCAGCCGCGGUAAUACGGAGGAUCCGAGCGUUAUCCGGAUUUAUUGGGUUUAAAGGGAGCGUAGGCGGGUUGUUAAGUCAGUUGUGAAAGUUUGCGGCUCAACCGUAAAAUUGCAGUUGAUACUGGCGACCUUGAGUGCAACAGAGGUAGGCGGAAUUCGUGGUGUAGCGGUGAAAUGCUUAGAUAUCACGAAGAACUCCGAUUGCGAAGGCAGCUUACUGGAUUGUAACUGACGCUGAUGCUCGAAAGUGUGGGUAUCAAACAGGAUUAGAUACCCUGGUAGUCCACACAGUAAACGAUGAAUACUCGCUGUUGGCGAUAUACUGUCAGCGGCCAAGCGAAAGCAUUAAGUAUUCCACCUGGGGAGUACGCCGGCAACGGUGAAACUCAAAGGAAUUGACGGGGGCCCGCACAAGCGGAGGAACAUGUGGUUUAAUUCGAUGAUACGCGAGGAACCUUACCCGGGCUUAAAUUGCAACUGACGGAACCGGAAACGGUUCUUUCUUCGGACAGUUGUGAAGGUGCUGCAUGGUUGUCGUCAGCUCGUGCCGUGAGGUGUCGGCUUAAGUGCCAUAACGAGCGCAACCCUUAUCGAUAGUUACUAGCAGGUCAUGCUGAGGACUCUAUCGAGACUGCCGUCGUAAGAUGUGAGGAAGGUGGGGAUGACGUCAAAUCAGCACGGCCCUUACGUCCGGGGCUACACACGCGUUACAAUGGGGGGUACAGAAGGCAGCUACACGGCGACGUGGUGCUAAUCCCAAAAGCCUCUCUCAGUUCGGAUUGGAGUCUGCAACCCGACUCCAUGAAGCUGGAUUCGCUAGUAAUCGCGCAUCAGCCACGGCGCGGUGAAUACGUUCCCGGGCCUUGCACUCACCGCCCGUCAAG
This 1397-nucleotide ribosomal RNA is filed under the name uncultured bacterium. RNAcentral's name for it is "bacterial SSU rRNA". It matches the Rfam family "Bacterial small subunit ribosomal RNA". The record is from RNAcentral.